Molecule: non-coding RNA, 98 nt
Filed under: Mayetiola destructor (Hessian fly)
Lineage: Eukaryota; Metazoa; Arthropoda; Insecta; Diptera; Cecidomyiidae
Source: RNAcentral
GUGUCUAUUGAAAGGAGAGCUGGUUAGCACUCCCCUUGACAAGGAUGGAACACAUAAAUGGUCGAAUGGCACUGUUACAUAUUCGGCCACAAUUUUUU